CGCGGCCUAUCAGCUUGUUGGCGGGGUAACGGCCCACCAAGGCAUCGACGGGUAGCUGGUCUGAGAGGACGAUCAGCCACACUGGGACUGAGACACGGCCCAGACUCCUACGGGAGGCAGCAGCAGGGAAUAUUGCGCAAUGGGCGAAAGCCUGACGCAGCAACGCCGCGUGGGGGAUGAAGGCCUUCGGGUUGUAAGCCCCUUUCGGGAGGGAAGAAAAUGACGGUACCUCCUAAAGAAGCCCCGGCCAACUACGUGCCAGCAGCCGCGGUAAUACGUAGGGGGCGAGCGUUGUCCGGAAUCAUUGGGCGUAAAGAGCUCGUAGGCGGCUCAGUUAGUCGGCUGUGAAAGCCCGAGGCUCAACCUCGGAACUGCAGUCGAUACUGCUGUGGCUAGAGUCCGGUAGAGGAGAGUGGAAUUCCCGGUGUAGCGGUGGAAUGCGCAGAUAUCGGGAGGAACACCAGUAGCGAAGGCGGCUCUCUGGGCCGGAACUGACGCUGAGGAGCGAAAGCGUGGGUAGCAAACAGGAUUAGAUACCCUGGUAGUCCACGCCGUAAACGUUGGGCACUAGGUGUGGCGGUCUAUCAACGGCUGCCGUGCCGAAGCUAACGCAUUAAGUGCCCCGCCUGGGGAGUACGG
This 639-nucleotide ribosomal RNA is filed under the name uncultured actinomycete. RNAcentral's name for it is "bacterial SSU rRNA". It matches the Rfam family "Bacterial small subunit ribosomal RNA", at positions 232 to 885 of the family's 1533-position model. Lineage: Bacteria; Bacillati; Actinomycetota; Actinomycetes; Actinomycetales. The record is from RNAcentral.